AACGUAGGAGACGAACGUUAUCCGGAGUUACUGGGCGUAAAGGGCGUGUAGGCGGUUUGUUAAGUCUGGCGUGAAAGCUCUCGGCUAAACCGGGAGAGGUCGUUGGAUACUGGCGAACUAGAGGAUGGUAGAGGCGUGUGGAAUUCCGGGUGUAGUGGUGAAAUGCGUAGAGAUCCGGAGGAACACCAGUGGCGAAGGCGGCUUUCUGGGCAUUUCCUGACGCUGAGACGCGAAAGCGUGGGGAGCGAACCGG
Molecule: ribosomal RNA, 253 nt
Filed under: uncultured bacterium
Lineage: Bacteria
Description: partial 16S ribosomal RNA
Rfam family: Bacterial small subunit ribosomal RNA
Source: RNAcentral